GGGAGCUCUGGACUGGGAGUCGGAAGGGAGCACUGGACUAGGAGUCAGAAGGUGGAGUUCUGGGCACUGUUUUUCCACUCUUGGGCGCUGGGCAUGUUCUG
Molecule: microRNA precursor, 101 nt
Filed under: Pongo abelii (Sumatran orangutan)
Lineage: Eukaryota; Metazoa; Chordata; Mammalia; Primates; Hominidae
Description: miRNA
Source: RNAcentral